AGGGAUGUAGCGCAGCUUGGCCGUUUUGGGUACAGUACAAAAUGUCACGGGUUCCAAUCCCGUCAUCCCUA
This 71-nucleotide transfer RNA is filed under the name Salix arbutifolia. Its description in RNAcentral is "tRNA-Cys". It matches the Rfam family "tRNA". Rfam says of the family: Transfer RNA (tRNA) molecules are approximately 80 nucleotides in length. Their secondary structure includes four short double-helical elements and three loops (D, anti-codon, and T loops). The record is from RNAcentral. RNAcentral also lists the same sequence under 11 other names. Lineage: Eukaryota; Viridiplantae; Streptophyta; Magnoliopsida; Malpighiales; Salicaceae.